GUGCUCGAAAGAGAACCGUAACACAGGUGCUGCAUGGCUGUCGUCAGCUCGUGUCGUGAGAUGUUGGGUUAAGUCCCGCAACGAGCGCAACCCUUGUCCUUAGUUGCUACGCAAGAGCACUCUAAGGAGACUGCCGGUGACAAACCGGAGGAAGGUGGGGAUGACGUCAAGUCCUCAUGGCCCUUAUGGGUAGGGCUUCACACGUCAUACAAUGGUCGGUACAGAGGGCUGCCAAACCGCGAGGUGGAGCUAACCCCAGAAAACCGAUCGUAGUCCGGAUCGCAGUCUGCAACUCGACUGCGUGAAGCUGGAAUCGCUAGUAAUCGCGGAUCAGCAUGUCGCGGUGAAUACGUUCCCGGGCCUUGUACACACCGA
Molecule: ribosomal RNA, 375 nt
Filed under: Pandoraea sp.
Lineage: Bacteria; Pseudomonadati; Pseudomonadota; Betaproteobacteria; Burkholderiales; Burkholderiaceae
Description: bacterial SSU rRNA
Rfam family: Bacterial small subunit ribosomal RNA
Source: RNAcentral